GUUGCCGUGGUGUAGUGGUUAUCACGUCAGUCUUACACACUGAAGGUCUCCAGUUCGAUCCUGGGCGGCAACA
Zea mays is the source of this 73-nucleotide non-coding RNA. The record is from Rfam. NCBI's taxonomy places the organism in Eukaryota, Viridiplantae, Streptophyta, Magnoliopsida, Poales, Poaceae.